Molecule: ribosomal RNA, 1644 nt
Filed under: Triticum aestivum (bread wheat)
Lineage: Eukaryota; Viridiplantae; Streptophyta; Magnoliopsida; Poales; Poaceae
Description: partial small subunit ribosomal RNA
Source: RNAcentral
AUGCCUACAGUAAAUACUCUUGGAUUUAUCUUCUUAAGAAAAGAUCCGAGGUCUUUCAAGUUUUCCAAAACUUUUAAGCUCUUGUUGAGCGCAAGUUUGACAGCAAGAUCAUUGCUGCUCAAUCAGACUGGGGGGGGAGAGUACGAAAAGUUAAACUCUUUCUUCCAAAACCUUGGCAUCUCUCAUCACGUGUCCUGUCCCCACGCUCAUCAACAAAACGGUUCGGCAGAACGUAAGCACAGACACAUUGUGGAGGUAGGACUAGCUCUCUUAGCCGGCGCUUCUAUGCCCCUUAAAUUUUGGGACGAAGCUUUUCUCACGGCUGUCCACAUUAUCAACAUGCUUCCUAGUCGUGUCAUCAAUAAUGAAACUCCAACAGAAAGGCUACUUCAUGUUAAACCUGACUACAAAUCACUUCGUGUGUUUGGGUGUGCCUGUUGGCCUAAUCUUCGCCCAUACAACAAUCGCAAACUCAUGUUCCGCUCAAAGCAAUGUGCUUUUCUUGGGUAUAGUCCCCUUCAUAAAGGUGUCAAGUGCCUUGGCAUCUCCACUGGUCGUGUCUAUAUUUCUCGCGAUGUGAUCUUUCAUGAAACAAAAUUUCCUUUUGCUGAUCUUCAUCCUAAUGCCGGCGCCAUACUCCGCAAAGAAAUCCUUCUUUUGCCAUCUCAUUUAUCCGGCCUUGAUCACGGGGGAGAAAAUAAUUGUGCUGAUCAAAUGCUGACUAACCCUCUUAACCAUACCCAUGAGCUUUGUGAUGUUGUAGGAGAAAACAGCAGUGAAAACAGAGAAGAAAAUGAUGCACAAAUCACUUCCCAAAUGCCAUAUUUCAUGUGUCAUGGCGUGGGGGGCAAAUCUUCCUUGGAACUCGCUGGAUCCGCCUCGAGAUCGCUGCAGGAGCAGCAGCGCAGGCAAUCUGCACCGGGAUCGGUGCGGGCUGACGCGUCAGAGCCGACAGCUGCGCCGCACGCCCGCGCAACCGCCAGCGACUCCGCGCGCGCCACGCAACCGACCGCAGCUGGAGGUGGCCCCGCGCCUGCUGGAGGUGGCCCCACGGCCGCUUCGCCCCGCUCGUCGCGUCACACCUGGCAGCCCCCAAGUGGCCAACGCGGCGCACGCUUCCCCGACGAGUUGCGCUGCUACAAGCGGCGCGCUGAGCCGCGGCUGACGGGCGCUGGAUCUGGUGCUGAUCUGCUCGGGCCCACGCAAUCAUGCGCACGUGAUGAGCCGGUCGGCCAGCCGGGAUCUUCUGCGGCCUCCACAGCGCCUGGAUCACGAGAUGCAGCCACAGAAGAUCCAGGAGACGCACGAGGCGAAUCUGCCUCGGCUGUCGCAGCGUCCAGUGCUCCUGUUCCUGCUCCGAGAUCUUCUGCGCAAACUGAUCCCGCUGCACUGUCACAACGAAGAACAAGACUACAACAAGGUGUGAUCCAACCUGUUGAUUAUAAGCGUGUAACAAAAUAUGGCUUAGUUUGUUCCACAGGUGAGCCAGGUGAGCCAAGCACUCUUGAGGAAGCACUUCGUGAUGAAAAAUGGAAAAAGGCAAUGAAGGAAGAAUUUUUGGCACUAGAGAAAAAUCACACGUGGCAUCUAGUUCCUCACAGCAAGGUAAAAAUCUUAUUGAUUGCAAAUGGGUCUUCAGAAUAA